This 406-nucleotide ribosomal RNA is filed under the name uncultured bacterium. RNAcentral's name for it is "bacterial SSU rRNA". It matches the Rfam family "Bacterial small subunit ribosomal RNA", at positions 983 to 1390 of the family's 1533-position model. The record is from RNAcentral.
UGCAUCCUGCGAAUCCCUUGGAAACUUGGGAGUGCCUUCGGGAGCGCAGAGACAGGUGGUGCAUGGCUGUCGUCAGCUCGUGUCGUGAGAUGUUGGGUUAAGUCCCGCAACGAGCGCAACCCACGUCUUUAGUUGCCAGCAUUCAGUUGGGCACUCUAGAGAGACCGCCGGUGAUAAACCGGAGGAAGGUGUGGAUGACGUCAAGUCAUCAUGCCCCUUACAUCCUGGGCUACACACGUACUACAAUGCUACGGACAAAGGGCAGCAAACUCGCGAGAGCUAGCAAAUCCCAUAAACCGUGGCUCAGUUCAGAUCGUAGGCUGCAACUCGCCUACGUGAAGGAGGAAUCGCUAGUAAUCGCAGGUCAGCAUACUGCGGUGAAUACGUUCCCGGGUCUUGUACACAC